RNAcentral lists this long non-coding RNA (778 nucleotides) under Physcomitrium patens. RNAcentral describes it as "long non-coding RNA (PPAT_LNC013687)". Lineage: Eukaryota; Viridiplantae; Streptophyta; Bryopsida; Funariales; Funariaceae. The record is from RNAcentral.
GAGUGAUUGAUGAGCUAUGGAGCUUUCUGUGUUGGCCGUUUGAAAUGGUCAUUGAUGUGGAAUGGAACUCUAGAGUUUUGUUCCAUUGUGAGGGCUAUAUUUUAGCUCAUUGUUUGAGUAGUUUUUCGUUUGUAGGACACAGCAUUCUGCUUACUAUUACAUAAUCAUACUUAUUUGAAAAGAAAGUCGUGAAAAUGAGAAGCAGUGGUAAUGUUUACCUUGAUUUUUAUUGAUGAAGCGGAUUAAUCUCUUUGACUUGUUCAUAAAUUCUCAUCUUGUUACGUUUUUUAAUCGUAUUUUUCUGGUGCAGAGCUCGUAUCUGGCGUCUUUCGUGCGUUGAAACUCUGUCAAUAUCUACAUCUUAAUUUACGAUUUGUUUUUGGUGAAGUUCGUUACAUCUGCAUGGCUGAAAGAAGGUUGAGAUAAAUAUAAUCUGCUAUCGGCAGCUAGAGAGGCCGUGGUAAUGCUGGGGCAAAACUUUGAAGGUGAUACAAAACGUUGCAGCCGCAUGACCUUUUGAGAUUAACAAAGUUAUUCAUGAAGCAGACAAAUAGGACUCUAUAAUGGGCAACGUCUAUCACUGAUGAGUAUCAAACUAUAGCAACUAUGAAAGGUGGAAUGCAACACUUGCCAUUGCAAACCUCUGAAAGAGCAUCUUUCUGCGGCGACCCGGCAAUUGCUAAUGCACUGGAGCUAGCCAACACAUCGCCAGCACGGAUUGGAACAAGAGCACCUUCUGCACGUGAGUAUGAUGAAGAGUAUGUUGUUGUCGACCUGG